This 460-nucleotide ribosomal RNA is filed under the name uncultured bacterium. Its description in RNAcentral is "partial 16S ribosomal RNA". It matches the Rfam family "Bacterial small subunit ribosomal RNA", at positions 338 to 795 of the family's 1533-position model. The record is from RNAcentral.
GCUACGGGAGGCAGCAGUGAGGAAUAUUGGUCAAUGGGCGGAAGCCUGAACCAGCCAAGUCGCGUGAGGGAUUAAGGCCCUGCGGGUCGUAAACCUCUUUUGCCGGGGAGCAGAGGUCCGGACGUGUCCGGGCCGGGAGAGUACCCGGAGAAAAAGCACCGGCUAACUCCGUGCCAGCAGCCGCGGUAAUCCGGGGGAUGCGAGCGUUAUCCGGAUUUAUUGGGUUUAAAGGGUGCGUAGGCGGGCAUUUAAGCCGGCGGUAAAAUGGCGGGGCUCAACCCCGGCCUGCCGUCGGAACUGGGUGCCUUGAGUGGGCGAGAAGUAUGCGGAAUGCGUGGUGUAGCGGUGAAAUGCAUAGAUAUCACGCAGAACCCCGAUUGCGAAGGCAGCAGACCGGCGCCCUACUGACGCUGAGGCACGAAAGUGCGGGUAUCGAACAGGAUUAGAUACCCCUGUAGUC